AGUGAACGCUGGCGGUAGGCCUAACACAUGCAAGUCGAACGGCAGCACAGUAAGAGCUUGCUCUUACGGGUGGCGAGUGGCGGACGGGUGAGGAAUACAUCGGAAUCUACUUUUUCGUGGGGGAUAACGUAGGGAAACUUACGCUAAUACCGCAUACGACCUACGGGUGAAAGCAGGGGAUCUUCGGACCUUGCGCGAUUGAAUGAGCCGAUGUCGGAUUAGCUAGUUGGCGGGGUAAAGGCCCACCAAGGCGACGAUCCGUAGCUGGUCUGAGAGGAUGAUCAGCCACACUGGAACUGAGGCACGGUCCAGACUCCUACGGGAGGCAGCAGUGGGGAAUAUUGGACAAUGGGCGCAAGCUUGAUCAAGCCAUACCGCGUGGGUGAAGAAGGCCUUCGGGUUGUAAAGCCCUUUUGUUGGGAAAGAAAAGCAGCAGGUUAAUACCCCGCUGUUCUGACGGUACCCAAAGAAUAAGCACCGGCUAACUUCGUG
Molecule: ribosomal RNA, 492 nt
Filed under: uncultured bacterium
Lineage: Bacteria
Description: partial 16S ribosomal RNA
Rfam family: Bacterial small subunit ribosomal RNA
Source: RNAcentral